Mandrillus leucophaeus (drill) is the source of this 453-nucleotide long non-coding RNA. RefSeq lists it as uncharacterized. The record is from RefSeq and is a predicted model, not a curated record. The transcript is spliced from 3 exons. NCBI's taxonomy places the organism in Eukaryota, Metazoa, Chordata, Mammalia, Primates, Cercopithecidae.
GUGCCACAGCAACAGAGCUCCAGUUGUGUCUUGUAAGAAUUGGUCAUUGUUUCAUGGGGACGACUGGCUUCUUUGGGUGGGAUCUGAUGGCAUCUCAUGGAGUUGAGGUUGUCUGCCAAUGCUAACUGGCCAGCUCUGAGAGGAGGUGCUUGGCCCAGGAGGAGUCAUCAGGGCAGUUCUCUGGGCUACUGCUGUGUCUCCAGCUCUGCAGUUUGCUCUGCAUCACUCAGCGGCAGACGGAGAGGCAGCUGCAAGCCCCUUGUGAGAUUUCUUCCUUGCCGUCAUCUCACGAUGCUCUGUAAUAAGGAGGCAAACGGCUGAGGUCCCCUCAGUUAGUCUCGCUCUGUCCCAGGCUGGAGUGCCACGAUGGGGUCUUGGCUCACUGCAACCUUUGCCUCCCAAGUUCAAGCUAUUCCCCUGCCUCAGCCUCCUGAGUAGCUGGGGUUACAGGCA